GCCAGGCGUGGUGACUCACACCUGUAAUCCCAGCACUUGGGAGGCCGAGGUGGGAGGAUCACCUGAGGUCAGGAGUUCGAGACCAGCCUGGCCAACAGGGUGAAACCCCAUCUCUA
This is an unclassified non-coding RNA of Pongo abelii (Sumatran orangutan), 116 nucleotides long. It matches the Rfam family "Metazoan signal recognition particle RNA". From Rfam's summary of the family: The signal recognition particle (SRP) is a universally conserved ribonucleoprotein. Lineage: Eukaryota; Metazoa; Chordata; Mammalia; Primates; Hominidae. The record is from Ensembl.